CAGGAAGUGAUGUAGGGAGGGUAAACAGGAAGUUCCGGGUGAGAGGUGAGUCAGGAGGACGUAGAAAGAAGACAUUGGUAGUGGCAGCAGAGGAGAGUUUUCCUCUGGUAAGGUCUGGUGACCAUUUUGCCAUCACAGUGCCUUCACCUCAUUCCCUGAAACAUGAGAGAAUCAAUGAGAAGAAGAUUCUAGAAGUCACCAACAAGAUCAUCGAUCUGCUGACAGGAGAGGUUCCUAUAAGGUGUCAGGAUGUCACUGUCU
This is a long non-coding RNA of Rana temporaria (common frog), 261 nucleotides long. RefSeq lists it as uncharacterized. The transcript is spliced from 3 exons. NCBI's taxonomy places the organism in Eukaryota, Metazoa, Chordata, Amphibia, Anura, Ranidae. The record is from RefSeq and is a predicted model, not a curated record.